RNAcentral lists this unclassified non-coding RNA (329 nucleotides) under soil metagenome. RNAcentral describes it as "partial contains 5.8S ribosomal RNA, internal transcribed spacer 2, and large subunit ribosomal RNA". The stretch from base 1 to 120 matches the Rfam family "5.8S ribosomal RNA", at positions 35 to 154 of the family's 154-position model. The record is from RNAcentral.
GAUGAAGAACGCAGCGAAAUGCGAUAAGUAAUGUGAAUUGCAGAAUUCAGUGAAUCAUCGAAUCUUUGAACGCACAUUGCGCCCCCUGGUAUUCCGGGGGGCAUGCCUGUCCGAGCGUCAUUACAACCCUCAAGCUCAGCUUGGUGUUGGGCCCCGCCGCCCCGGCGGGCCCUAAAGUCAGUGGCGGUGCCGUCCGGCUCCGAGCGUAGUAAUUCUUCUCGCUCUGGAGGUCCGGUCGUGUGCUCGCCAGCAACCCCCAAUUUUUUUCAGGUUGACCUCGGAUCAGGUAGGGAUACCCGCUGAACUUAAGCAUAUCAAUUAGCGGAGGA